GAAAUGUGAUACUUAAUGUGAAUUGCAGAAUACCGUGAAUCAUCGAAACCUUGAACGCAUACUGCGCCUGAGAGUCAUCUCUCAGGCAUACCUGUUAGAGUGUCAGUUAUCAUAUCAAUCCAGCCUUUGGGCUGGGACUUUGGUGGUAUAUGGAGCAAUACGUCUUCCGCUUAAAAGAUAAUGUUUGUAGGACAAGCGACUCUAAACUACCUGCUUGCCGUGAACUGUUAAUAGUACCUUUACUGGUUUAUUGCAGCCUCAGACAGUAUGGCCGGUUUGGCUUCCGUUUCCCUACAGACACAUUUUUGAUACUGGUUUUAUAGGCCUGCGCGGCUUAUCUAAUCAACUUAACAUUUUGACCUCUAAUAGGUAAGACUACCCGCUGAAUUUAA
Molecule: unclassified non-coding RNA, 392 nt
Filed under: uncultured Glomus
Lineage: Eukaryota; Fungi; Glomeromycota; Glomeromycetes; Glomerales; Glomeraceae
Description: sequence contains ITS1
Rfam family: 5.8S ribosomal RNA (bases 1-105)
Source: RNAcentral